GGGACCCAGCAGGACUUCCCAAGAGUCAGAAAGGUGCUCAGGGGUGGCAAUGGCAGUUCCCACAAGGUCCAGCCUUGCUGUCCCUACAGCGCUGCUACCAGAGCUCCCCAGAAGGGGGCUGAGAUGUGGGGAAGAGGGGCGCUGUUGCUAAGGAACAAGAGGCUGUGUCCCUGGAGGGCCUGGAGGAGGCCCUGACGCUGCUCGCACCGGGGAUACCGGAGACAGAAAAGGAGAUGUUGAGAGUGGGAAUAAGAACCCAAGUCCUGGAAGGUGAGAAUGGAAUCUGCCGCCCCAUUUGUUCAAUGACUUCCUGUCUUCAUCCUGUGAAGUUCACGAGAGGCACCGAGGAGUUUUGGAGAAGAGAAGUGCCAAAAGACUGGAGGUGGAGAUAGGCCGUUCCAAUCUUUAAGAAGGGGGAAAGAAGCUGGGCGCGUUGGCCUACAACUGUAAUCCCAGCGACUUGGGAGGCUGAGGGGGAAGGACUGCUUCCCUGCAGAUGCCCACAGACCUUGUCACCUCCUUCAAGUCAUAGCUACAAUAUUGCCUGUCAACGAAGUCUCUCCUGAUCACUCUCCUUUUUUUGUGGUGCUGGGGAUCAAACCCAGGGCCUCAUCCAUGCUAAGACAAGCGCUGUGCACUGAGCUGUGCCCUCAGACCUGAGGKCCCUCCUUAGAACUGCAACCUAUUCCGUACUCCUUUUCUCUACCCUCAUGCCCCUUAUCCUGCUCUUCUCUUUUYCCAAAGCACUUGAUACCUCUCCCAUACUCAAGCAUCUGUCUUUCUCUGCUCCACGAAGCUCUGACCUAUGUCUGUUCUGCUCACCAAUAAGUCCUGAGGGCCUGGGACAGUGCCUGGCUAAUACAGGAGACUUCACAAAUAUUUGUUGAAGGAUUAAAAUUUUUAAAAAUACUUGCUGCUGGCAAGGGUGUGGUAAGACUGACGCUUUGGUCCCUCGUAGUGGGAUUAUAAAUUGAAGCCAUCCAUUUUUUAAAUAAACUUUGUUGUAAUUUUAG
This is a non-coding RNA of Urocitellus parryii (Arctic ground squirrel), 1013 nucleotides long. NCBI's taxonomy places the organism in Eukaryota, Metazoa, Chordata, Mammalia, Rodentia, Sciuridae. The record is from RefSeq and is a predicted model, not a curated record.